GAGUUUGAUCCUGGCUCAGAACGAACGCUGGCGGCACGCUUAACACAUGCAAGUCGAACGGAAUUAUGGGGUUCGCUCCAUAAUUUAGUGGCGCACGGGUGAGUAACGCGUAACUACCUGCCUACUGAUGGUGGAUAACUCUGGGAAACUAGGGCUAAUACAGCAUGAGCUCGAGAGAGGAAAGGCCUUCGGGUCGUCAGUAGAGGGGGGUGCGUCUGAUUAGGUUGUUGGUGAGGUAACGGCUCACCAAGCCGAUGAUCAGUAGCUGGUCUGAGAGGAUGGUCAGCCACACUGGAACUGAGAUACGGUCCAGACUCCUACGGGAGGCAGCAGUGGGGAAUAUUGGACAAUGGGCGAAAGCCUGAUCCAGCGAUGCCGCGUGAGUGAUGAAGGCCUUAGGGUUGUAAAGCUCUUUUGACAGGGACGAUGAUGACGGUACCUGUAGAAUAAGCACCGGCUAACUCUGUGCCAGCAGCCGCGGUAAUACAGAGGGUGCUAGCGUUGUUCGGAAUUACUGGGCGUAAAGGGCGUGUAGGCGGCUACGUAAGUCAGAUGUUAAAGACCUGGGCUUAACCUGGGGGGUGCGUUUGAUACUGCGUGGCUAGAGUGCAGGAGAGGAGAGUGGAAUUCCAGGUGUAGAGGUGAAAUUCGUAGAUAUCUGGAGGAACACCAGCGGCGAAGGCGGCUCUCUGGACUGUUACUGACGCUGAGGCGCGAAAGCGUGGGGAGCAAACAGGAUUAGAUACCCUGGUAGUCCACGCCUUAAACGAUGGAAGCUAGAUGUCGGGACUAUAAGUUUCGGUGUCGCCGCUAACGCAUUAAGCUUCCCGCCUGAGGAGUACGGUCGCAAGAUUAAAACUCAAAGGAAUUGACGGGGACCCGCACAAGCGGUGGAGCAUGUGGUUUAAUUCGAAGCAACGCGAAAAACCUUACCCGCUUUUGACAUAGGGAUCGAGAGUCUAAGAGAUUAGAUUCGUCGGUUCGGCCGGAUCCUAUACAGGUGCUGCAUGGCUGUCGUCAGCUCGUGUCGUGAGAUGUUGGGUUAAGUCCCGCAACGAGCGCAACCCUUAUUCGUAGUUGCCAUCACGUUAUGGUGGGCACUUUACGAAAACCGCCGCUGAUAAAGUGGAGGAAGGUAAGGAUGACGUCAAGUCCUCAUGGCCCUUAUGGGCGGGGCUACACACGUGCUACAAUGGUGGUGACAGAGAGAAGCAAGCAGGUGACUGUGAGCAAACCUCAAAAAACCAUCUCAGUUCAGAUUGCACUCUGCAACUCGAGUGCAUGAAGUUGGAAUCGCUAGUAAUCGCGAAUCAGCAUGUCGCGGUGAAUACGUUCUCGGGUCUUGUACACACCGCCCGUCACACCAUGGGAGUUGAUUUUACCUUAAGUCGGUGAGCUAACCAGCAAUGGAGGCAGCCGAUCACGGUGAGGUCGAUGACUGGGGUGAAGUCGUAACAAGGUAACCGUA
RNAcentral lists this ribosomal RNA (1468 nucleotides) under uncultured bacterium. Its description in RNAcentral is "bacterial SSU rRNA". It matches the Rfam family "Bacterial small subunit ribosomal RNA". The record is from RNAcentral.